Molecule: non-coding RNA, 100 nt
Filed under: Serratia sp. Tan611
Lineage: Bacteria; Pseudomonadati; Pseudomonadota; Gammaproteobacteria; Enterobacterales; Yersiniaceae
Description: TPP
Rfam family: TPP riboswitch aptamer (THI element)
About the family: Vitamin B(1) in its active form thiamin pyrophosphate (TPP) is an essential coenzyme that is synthesised by coupling of pyrimidine and thiazole moieties in bacteria. The previously detected thiamin-regulatory element, thi box was extended, resulting in a new, highly conserved RNA secondary structure, the THI element, which is widely distributed in eubacteria and also occurs in some archaea. Analysis of operon structures identified a large number of new candidate thiamin-regulated genes, mostly transporters, in various prokaryotic organisms.
Source: RNAcentral
UGCGAAGACUCGGGGUGCCCUUCAUGUAUGUGAAGGCUGAGAAAUACCCGUAUUACCUGAUCUGGAUAAUACCAGCGUAGGGAAGUCUUGGCGUCCUGAC